UUUUUGAAUUAAAAAGAGAAAUUUAUUUCAUAGUCAGGGUAUGAACCACAAGCUUCCAAAGA
RNAcentral lists this transfer RNA (62 nucleotides) under Scraptia sp. SCR01. RNAcentral describes it as "tRNA-Leu". Lineage: Eukaryota; Metazoa; Arthropoda; Insecta; Coleoptera; Scraptiidae. The record is from RNAcentral.